UAACACAUGCAAGUCGAACGGUAACAUUUCUAGCUUGCUAGAAGAUGACGAGUGGCGGACGGGUGAGUAAUGCUUGGGAACUUGCCUUUGCGAGGGGGAUAACAGUUGGAAACGACUGCUAAUACCGCAUAAUGUCUUCGGACCAAACGGGGCUUCGGCUCCGGCGCAAAGAGAGGCCCAAGUGAGAUUAGCUAGUUGGUAAGGUAACGGCUUACCAAGGCGACGAUCUCUAGCUGUUCUGAGAGGAAGAUCAGCCACACUGGGACUGAGACACGGCCCAGACUCCUACGGGAGGCAGCAGUGGGGAAUAUUGCACAAUGGGGGGAACCCUGAUGCAGCCAUGCCGCGUGUGUGAAGAAGGCCUUCGGGUUGUAAAGCACUUUCAGUUGUGAGGAAAAGCUAGUAGUUAAUACCUGCUAACCGUGACGUUAACAACAGAAGAAGCACCGGCUAACUCCGUGCCAGCAGCCGCGGUAAUACGGAGGGUGCGAGCGUUAAUCGGAAUUACUGGGCGUAAAGCGCACGCAGGCGGUUUGUUAAGCUAGAUGUGAAAGCCCCGGGCUCAACCUGGGAUGGUCAUUUAGAACUGGCAGACU
This 596-nucleotide ribosomal RNA is filed under the name uncultured bacterium. RNAcentral's name for it is "bacterial SSU rRNA". It matches the Rfam family "Bacterial small subunit ribosomal RNA", at positions 49 to 642 of the family's 1533-position model. The record is from RNAcentral.